This 466-nucleotide ribosomal RNA is filed under the name uncultured Clostridium sp. Its description in RNAcentral is "bacterial SSU rRNA". It matches the Rfam family "Bacterial small subunit ribosomal RNA", at positions 917 to 1381 of the family's 1533-position model. Lineage: Bacteria; Bacillati; Bacillota; Clostridia; Eubacteriales; Clostridiaceae. The record is from RNAcentral.
ACGGGACCGCACAAGCGGUGGAUAAUGUGGAUUAAUUCGAUGCAACGCGAAAACCUUACCUACCCUUGACAUGUCCGGAAUCCCGAAGAGAUUUGGGAGUGCUCGCAAGAGAGCCGGAACACAGGUGCUGCAUGGCUGUCGUCAGCUCGUGUCGUGAGAUGUUGGGUUAAGUCCCGCAACGAGCGCAACCCUUAUCGUUAGUUGCUACCAUUAAGUUGAGCACUCUAGCGAGACUGCCCGGGUUAACCGGGAGGAAGGUGGGAUGACGUCAAAUCAUCAUGCCCCUUAUGUCUAGGGCUACACACGUGCUACAAUGGUGAGGACAAAGAGACGCAAGACCGCGAGGUGGAGCAAAUCUCACAAACCUCAUCCCAGUUCGGAUUGCAGGCUGAAACUCGCCUGCAUGAAGCCGGAGUUGCUAGUAAUCGCGAAUCAGCAUGUCGCGGUGAAUACGUUCCCGGGCCUU